ACACGUAUGAAGGUCAAGCUGAAAGACUUUACCCAAUGAUGUAAGUGGUGGUGCAUGGCCGUUCGUGGUUCGUGGAUUGAUUCGUCUGGUUAAUUCCGAUAACGAGCGAGACCCUACCGUUCCUAAUAUGGGGCUAUAGCCCAACCGGUCGAAAGGCCGGUUAGCUAAAGCUUAAGAUUGGCUUCUUAGACGUAUCAGAGCCGAUAAGGUUCUUGAAAUGGGUUAAUAACAGGUCAGCAUGCCCUUAGAUGUUCUGGGCCGCACGCGCGUUACAAUGGCAUGUAAAGCAAGUGCUCACUGGUGAGUUUACCGUUGUCGAGAGGCACUGGCAAUCCAUAAUCCCUGCCUUGACUGGGAUAGAUCAUUGCAAUUAUUGGUCUUAAACGAGGAAUUUUUAGUAAUAGCCAGGUCAUUAACCUGCGCUGA
Molecule: ribosomal RNA, 426 nt
Filed under: Badhamia macrocarpa
Lineage: Eukaryota; Evosea; Eumycetozoa; Physariida; Physaraceae
Description: SSU rRNA
Rfam family: Eukaryotic small subunit ribosomal RNA
Source: RNAcentral